GACGAAGGGGGCUAGCGUUGUUCGGAAUUACUGGGCGUAAAGCGCGUGUAGGCGGCUUUGCAAGUCGGGUGUGAAAGCCCUCAGCUCAACUGAGGAAGUGCGCCCGAAACUGCAGAGCUUGAGUGCCGGAGAGGGUGGCGGAAUUCCCCAAGUAGAGGUGAAAUUCGUAGAUAUGGGGAGGAACACCGGUGGCGAAGGCGGCCACCUGGACGGUAACUGACGCUGAGACGCGAAAGCGUGGGUAGCAAACAGG
Molecule: ribosomal RNA, 253 nt
Filed under: uncultured bacterium
Lineage: Bacteria
Description: partial 16S ribosomal RNA
Rfam family: Bacterial small subunit ribosomal RNA
Source: RNAcentral